AUGGAGAAGGAACCGGGAGGACCUCACCAGAGGGAGAUUGUAGCCAUAGCUGUAGCUCAACCACACAACGGCUGUGGUGUGACCAUCACCACAUCCAGGAGAGGGUCUGGAGGCCGCCGGAGCACAACCACGACGACCAGGGCGAGCGCCGGGCACGGUGGCGCCACCCCGAGGGCAUCACCGCACGGAGACGCCACCCCAGGGGCACCACCGCAUCACGGUGAGCCGCUGGAGGUGCCGGAUGAAACCCCGCGACGACCGAAGGGCCGUCGGCGACAAGACCCGCCUCCACCACCGGAACCCUAG
Molecule: ribosomal RNA, 306 nt
Filed under: Triticum aestivum (bread wheat)
Lineage: Eukaryota; Viridiplantae; Streptophyta; Magnoliopsida; Poales; Poaceae
Description: partial small subunit ribosomal RNA
Source: RNAcentral